This is a long non-coding RNA of Biomphalaria glabrata, 895 nucleotides long. RefSeq lists it as uncharacterized. Lineage: Eukaryota; Metazoa; Mollusca; Gastropoda; Planorbidae. The record is from RefSeq and is a predicted model, not a curated record. The transcript is spliced from 4 exons.
UAUUCCGAAGCAUGGCGGGAAUGAAGAAUGUAAACAAUGUAUCUAGUCAGUUAUUCCUAACUUUACGAUGUGUUACAUUUUAGAUAUAGGCCUAGUUUUAGUUAUUACAGAAACUUACAAUUUGAUACUAUUGUGGACGCAAUAUUAAAGAAUACUCAACAGGCAGCAGCAUUAAGCAUUACGCGGGAAAAAUUCAUUUGUGGAUAAAAAUUAAUCUUUUGUUGCCGUCGCCGCCGACGUCUGGGUGAAGAUUAAGAGGAAGAGUUUAGUUCUAGGGUCAAGGUCGACAAAUAAAGGAUUUGUUAGGACUCUCCAUUCAUAUUCAUUCUGGAAAGGAGUUACGAAACGAACGAGUAUUCAUUCUCUGCCAGGGAAACAAAAUGUUUCACAGUCCCUUUAUCAGUUUCCAUUGAGGCAUUCUCUGGUGAUGUGGCAGGUCUGCAGCAGUACCGCCCUCUGACAGGCAAUGAAAAUGUUUCUAGGAAUGUGAAGGGCCUUGAAGGUAUCUGUGAGCAUUUUAGGCUCUACAACGACUUUGUCUGCAUCAGGUGUGGGAAUAUAUGCAGGUCGCAACUGAGUUUGUAUGUCCACCUGAAACACUGCGCUCAUCCUUAAUCUAAUCGAAGACAUCACCUACAAGGGGAAACAAACACACAAACAAUCGUUGUUCUAAGUAAACAAAAAGCUGCGAAUCCAAGAAAUUCUCGGAAGAAGCCUUCACUUUAUUAUUUGUGGAAAACAAAGUGAAUUAGAGUGCAUCCAAACUUGACGUUAUUAGACACUUGAUGGCCAGAGAUUUAAAUAGAUUCCGUGCAAGGGAGAGAAUCAAGAGAAAACAAAAAUAGAUAUUGGGGGACUAGGAGUGGCCAAAGCGUCAUGUCAGGUCUUCACGAAA